GUUAAAGUACAGUUGUGCUUCCAAAAAAAUAGUAUUUGUUUCCAUGAGAACUGUGCUUCUCGAAAAGUGAAAAGCAUAGUUGUGCUUCCCCGAAAAAUGAGAAGCAGAACUUGUGCUUCCUCGAGAAGCACAAUAUGCUUCUUGAAAAGGAAAAGCCGAGAAAAGCGGAAAAAUCACAACCGUGCUUCUUAUUUUUGUUUCGAUUCUGACUUGUUUCCCGUUUUCGGGUUUUAGUUUUUAUUUUUAGUUUUCUCUUGGUUUUUUCGUGAAAACAAAAAUUUCAUCGCAACCUAUUAACAUUGAGAAAUCCAAUGGUGAAAACAGUUUAUGAUUUAGACGCAUUGUUCAAGAGAUAAAACAAUUUGAAAAAACAAACUACGAAUAAAAAAAACUUCGAAGUUGCUCAAGUGACGCACAUGUAGAGAAGGUGGGAGUGACCUUUGCAAGCCCUUAAUUAGUGAUUUCACAUGUAUUGCCGUACAAGCAUUCUAAAUAUACUAAACCUGACCAGGUUUCUUUUACCAGGUUUUUUUUUUACUUUUUCUAAUCAGUAAAACUCGGGCCAAUCGAAGACACGUCAAUUAGUGGGGGACGUGGACAGGUACGCCUUGGGGUGAGUCUAGCAAUUUUCCUGCGAUUUGUUUCUGGUCAAACUUUUCGGUUUGUCGGCCUGCAGGUUGUUUCUAUUGCGCUGCAUGCAUGCUAUACCGUGGGAUGCUUUUGAUAAGGCCACGUGCAUGUGCUUGCUGUUUCUGGUAAUCUUUGGAUGCAUGGCCGCUUAUUCUCUUGCUCUCUCGAGAAGGAUCCUGUCAAUUCAGUUCCACCGCUUCACCGCCGUAGGUGACUAUAAAAGGUUCUCCAGCACCGGCGGUCUUGCCUCACCUCCUCCCUGCCCUUUCCGCCUGACCGCCGAGCUCCGGUUCGCCUCCUAGCGCCGUCCUCAUGCAGCCAUCUGUUAGCCAAGCUUUGCGAGAUGCAUCGAGAGAUGGACCUCGAGCUGCACGCGAUGGCGCCGGGCUAGCACAAGGCAGAGCACCUGGCCGUGGCCGGCGAGGAGGCGCGCAAGGUCGGCGCGUCGGUGCCCACUGGUUGCCAUCCCCAUCUCCCCUUCCUAGGUGCUCCCCUCCGCGUCUUAACUCUUACCCCGAGGUGCUACAGAAGAGACGCCCUACGGGGAGCUAACGUGGAGGAGCGGGCGGCCGCUCGAGGCACAACAUCCUGUUGCAGGCGAGGUGAGUCUCAAUGCUGAUGUUGGUCACCAACGAGGUCUUCGAUCGGAGCGGAAGUCCAGGCGAGGUGGAUUUCGCCGGCGAGGCCCUCUCCGUUCUUCCUCUUGUGUGCGUCUUGGGCAGGAGGCAGGAGGGCCAGCAGGGCCUGAAGUGCCUAGCCCUCCGGGCCACUGAGGCGAGGUGCUGAGGGCGCGCGGUGUUGGCGCAUAAGCCAUGUCCCCGCCGAGGUGACCGGUGUCGGGCGUGCCAGUCCGGUCCGUGGCCGCGUCGAGCCCAUGUUUAGGCAUAGUCUGACCUUGGUCUGGCCAUGGUCCGACUAGUGUAUGGCUUGUGUGCGUGCGUGUGUGGCGCGGGGUGUGUGUCUGUGUGCGCACCUGUUGCGUGGGUAGUUGGCGAUAGUGGCGGGGGUGACCGCGGCGUUCUGUUGGAGCCCGGCCGCGUUGAUCGCGUUGGUGCGCGACGGGUGCGUGAGCUAGGGCGUGCGGAGCGUGCGGGCGUGGAGGAGUGGGGAGCGCGGCGUCGUGUGGGCGCGCCCGUGUAUAAAGCUCCACCCCGCGUACUGUUGUUUGUGUGGGGCUCGAGUUCGUGCUCGAGGAAGACGCCGUUCGUGCGGCAGGCGUUCGUACGCCGGAACCACCGUGUCUUGUGUCUCCCUCCUUUCUUCUUCCUCUAAUCGUUCUAGCGAGAGUACAAAGAGAGAGAGAGUUCCGGUGAGAGGGAGGGCUAGGGCUAGACACCCAACACUUGGCAUCAGGCCUACAGGUUUGCGGCCGUGGCGCGCGGUGGCGUCCGCGGCGCGCGCGGCGAGCACGUCGGACAUGGAGGCUGUAGCGCGCGGCGAGCGCGUGGCGAGCGCGACGCGCGGCGACUCCACGGUGGUGCGGACUGAUGUCGUGCACGCGAAGAGCACGGCAGUCGUGGAGACGAGGAGGUCGCGGAGGAGCUGUGUGGUAGCGCAGAAGUCGCGGCGGCUCGGCGCGACAACCGUGGGGGCACGGAAACGUGGCGCGAGACGGCGCAUGGGACUGGGGGCUGCUUCAGCGGCAGUGGGCGUCGGCUCGUGCUGGAGGCGAAGAGGAGACGACGAUGACGACGAGUGAGGCGAUGUCAUGGCUUAGGGGGUGAUUGUUGGCGCAUAAGCCAUGUCCCCGCCGAGGUGACCGGUGUCGGGCGUGCCUGUCCGGUCCGUGGCCGCGUCCGCGUCGAGCCCAUGUUUAGGCAUAGUCUGACCUUGGUCUGGCCAUGGUCCGACUAGUGUAUGGCUUGUGUGCGUGCGUGUGUGUGGGGCGCGGGGUGUGUGUCUGUGUGCGCACCUGUUGCGUGGGUAGUUGGCGAUAGUGGCGGGGUGACCGCGGCGUUCUGCCGGCCGCGUUGAUCGCGUUGGUGCGCGACGGGUGCGUGAGCUAGGGCGUGCGGAGCGUGCGGGCGUGGAGGAGUGGGGAGCGCGACGUCGUGUGGGCGCGCCCGUGUAUAAAGCUCCACCCCGCGUACUGUUGUUUGUGUGGGGCUCGAGUUCGUGCUCGAGGAAGACGCCGUUCGUGCGGCAGGCGUUCGUGCGCCGGAACCACCGUGUCUUGUGUCUCCCUCCUUUCUUCUUCCUCUGAUCGUUCUAGCGAGAGUACAGAGAGAGAGAGAGAGAGUUCCGGUGAGAGGGAGGGCUAGGGGUACCGUGGCGCGCGGUGGCGUCCGCGGCACGCGCGGCGAGCACGUCGGAUAUGGAGGCUGCAGCGCGCGGCGAGCGCGUGGCGAGCGCUACGCGCGGCGACUCCACGGUGGUGCGGACUGAUGUCGUGCACGCGAAGAGCACGGCAGUCGCGGAGACGAGGAGGUCGCGGAGGAGCUGUGUGGUGGCGCAGAAGUCGCGGCGGCUGGGCGCGACAACCGUGGGGGCACGGAAACAUGGCGCGACGGCGCACGGGACUGCGGGCUGCUGCAGCGGCAGUGGGCGUCGGCUCGUGCUGGAGGCGCAGAGGAGACGACGACGACGAGUCAGGUGAUGUCAUGGCUUAGGGGGUGAUUCUUGGCGCUUAAGCCAUGUCCCUGCCGAGGUGACCGGUGUCGGGCGUGCCAGUCCGUUCCGUGGCCGCGUCGAGCCAAUGUUUAGGCAUAGUCUGACCUUGGUCUGGCCAUGGUCCGACUAGUGUAUGGCUUGUGUGCGUGCGUGUGUGUGUGGCGCGGGGUGUGCGUCUGUGUGCGCACCUGUUGCGUGGGUAAUUGGCGAUAGUGGCGGGGGUGACCGCGGCGUUCUAUUGGAGCCCGGCCGCGUUGAUCGCGUUGGUGCGCGACGGGUGCGUGAGCUAGGGCGUGCGGAGCGUGCGGGCGUGGAGGAGUGGGGAGCGCGGCGUCGUGUGGGCGCGCCCGUGUAUAAAGCUCCACCCCGCGUACUGUUGUUUGUGUGGGGCUCGAGUUCGUGCUCGAGGAAGACGCCGUUCGUGCGGCAGGCGUUCGUGCGCCGGAACCACCGUGUCUUGUGUCUCCCUCCUUUCUUCUUCCUCUGAUCGUUCUAGCGAGAGUACAGAGAGAGAGAGAGAGUUCCGGUGAGAGAGAGGGCUAGGGCUACCGUGGCGUGCGGCGGCGUCCGCGGCACGCGCGGCGAGCACGUCGGACAUGGAGGCUGCAGCGCGUGGCGACCGCGACGCGCAGCGACUCCACGGUGGUGGGGACUGAUGUCGUGCACGCGAAGAGCACGGCAGUCGCGGAGACGAGGAGGUCGCGGAGGAGCUGUGUGGUGGCGCAGAAGUCGCGGCGGCUCGGCGCGACAACCGUGGGGGCACGGAAACAUGGCGCGACGGCGCACGGGACUGCGGGCUGCUGCAGCGGCAGUGGGCGUCGGCUCGUGCUGGAGGCGCAGAGGAGACGACGACAACGAGUCAGGCGAUGUCAUGGCUUAGGGGGUGAUUGUUGGCGCAUAAGCCAUGUCCCCGCCGAGGUGACCGGUGUCGGGCGUGCCAGUCAGGUCCGUGGCCGCGUCGAGCCCAUGUUUAGGCAUAGUCUGACCUUGGUCUGGCCAUGGUCUGACUAGUGUAUGGCUUGUGUGCGUGCGUGUGUGGCGCGGGGUGUGUGUCUGUGUGCGCACCUGUUGCGUGGGUAGUUGGCGAUAGUGGCGGGGGCGACCGCGGCGUUCUGUUGGAGCCCGGCCGCGUUGAUCGCGUUGGUGCGCGACGGGUGCGUGAGCUAGGGUGUGCGGAGCGUGCGGGCGUGGAGGAGUGGGGAGCGCGGCGUCGUGUGGGCGCGCCCGUGUAUAAAGCUCCACCCCGCGUACUGUUGUUUGUGUGGGGCUCGAGUUCGUGCUCGAGGAAGACGCCGUUCGUGCGGCAGGCGUUCGUGCGCCGGAACCACCGUGUCUUGUGUCUCCCUCCUUUCUUCUUCCUCUGAUCGUCCUAGCGAGAGUACAGAGAGAGAGAGAGUUCCGGUGAGAGGGAGGGCUAGGGGUACCGUGGCGCGCGGUGGCGUCCGCGGCACGCGCGGCGAGCACGUCGGAUAUGGAGGCUGCAGCGCGCGGCGAGCGCGUGGCGACUCCACGGUGGUGCGGACUGAUGUCGUGCACGCGAAGAGCACGGCAGUCGCGGAGGAGUUGUGUGGUGGCGCAGAAGUCGCGGCGGCUCGGCGCGACAACCGUGGGGGCACGGAAACAUGGCGCGACGGCGCACGGGACUGCGGGCUGCUGCAGCGGCAGUGGGCGUCGGCUCGUGCUGGAGGCGCAGAGGAGACGAGGACGACGAGUCAGGUGAUGUCAUGGCUUAGGGGGUGAUUCUUGGCGCUUAAGCCAUGUCCCCGCCGAGGUGACCGGUGUCGGGCGUGCCAGUCCGGUCCGUGGCCGCGUCGAGCCCAUGUUUAGGCAUAGUCUGACCUUGGUCUGGCCAUGGUCCGACUAGUGUAUGGCUUGUGUGCGUGCGUGUGUGUGACGCGGGGUGUGCGGCUGUGUGCGCACCUGUUGCGUGGGUAGUUGGCGAUAGUGGCGGGGGUGACCGCGGCGUUCUGUUGGAGCCCGGCCGCGUUGAUCGCGUUGGUGCGUGACGGGUGCGUGAGCUAGGGCGUGCGGAGCGUGCGGGCGUGCAGGAGUGGGGAGCGCGGCGUCGUGUGGGCGCGCCCGUGUAUAAAGCUCCACCCCACGUACUGUUGUUUGUGUGGGGCUCGAGUUCGUACUCGAGGAAGACGCCGUUCGUGCGGCAGGCGUUCAUGCGCCGGAACCAUCGUGUCUUGUGUCUCCCUCCUUUCUUCUUCCUCUGAUCGUUCUAGCGAGACUAGCGAGAGUAUAGAGAGAGAGGGGUUCCGGUGAGAGGGAGGGCCAGGGCUAGACACCCAACACGCGGUGCGGCUCGCACUGGGACUCGUGCUCCGCCGCCAUGGCGACGGCCAGCGCAGGACAUGCGCGACACUGGGAGGGGAGCCAAGUAUGAGGCUCUGGAGUGGCUCAUGCAGCGCGUCGCGCGCGGCGGUGCUGGUGGCUUGCAAUUGCAGGUUGACCAUGGGCGGUGGACCUCGGGCAGAGCUCACAUGUGGUUGCGGCGGUGCGCGGACAAGUGAAGCUCGCGGCGUGAUGGCGGCGCGUCGUGUGUGUGUGCGCGCGCUGUUUGCGCCCACUGUGCGUGUGUGGGACGGUCUGAUGACGCGACGAACGAUGUCGAGGCAGCAGGCCACUGGCGCUCGGUAUCGACGUAACGGAGCUCCUUUCCCUUACAGAUGCGGGCGCCGUCUCCUCUCAUGUCCCCUUCCCUCCUCUCUCUCGCCGCCGCCUGCGUGCGUGCACGUACAGCUUGCUCGCCGAUAGAGGGUGCGCCGCUGCUCUCCUUCUCUCUCCUUCUCUCUCUCUCUCUCUCUCUCUCUCUCCAAGGCGACCGUGUUCCCGAGCCGCCGCCCCCUACCCAAGCUCCCGCAGCGCUACAUGUUGCCGCACGCCGUAUCUCUUUCGCGGUUUGGCCUCGCUCUUGGCACCGCGCCGGUCUACGAUGGCCACCAUCUGCCGGACAGUAAGACCCGAUAUGGUGGUCGCCUCGACGACCGGUGGGCGCAAGCCAGCUGCGGCCCUUCGCCAUCCCCGAGCCAGCCGCGGCCCUUCGCCUACGGCAUGCUCGGCGCGCAUCUCCCGACCGGCGUGCGCACAUAGCCUCAUCUGCUAGGGAUAUGCGUCACCAGCUCACUCUAUCUGUUACACCGAUGCCACUCCCGAUGCGGACUGCGGUUGUGCUUCUUUUCGUUGUUAAAUAUAAUCUUGAUGUCUUGUGUAUCUGCAUGUUUACUUUCGUAUUUGCAUGUAGUAGUGUGUCUGUGCAGAGCUACGUGAGGCGUACAACUGAUGGGUUCAGUUUGAAGAGCAUGCAUGGUGAGACUCCAACGUGCAGUGAGAAGCUGCUGCAUGCAAAGAUCUGAAACUAACGAGCUGUACAAAUUAUCUAGGAAGUUGUUAUGCAUGCGUGUGUUAGUGGCAUAAGAAUAGGUGAUGGAUUAGUUGGUUAGUGGAGCAGGUCGUGUGCACAAAGAGCCGGGCACGUUGUGGCCUGGCAGCGUGUGCGAGCUAGCUACUUAAAGCGUUGUAAUUAAGUUCGUCUGGUUAAGAAAUACAGAGAGAAAAAGCCGUGAGCUGUGCGAGAGCACGGCACCAAAUAUCCUGUGUUCUUGUGUGUGUUGUGUGAAACAACCAAGAGAGAAGAGGUGAGCUCAGAGAGUCGGCUCCAACAUUCGUGUCUGUGAAUCCGUGAUGCCGUAGCCAGCAUCUCUCUACAUCUGGAUGUAGCGGAGCACAGCGAGCACCGGAGCGGCCACUCGAUUGACGGGGCCACCUCCCAAGGCUCCUCGGCCAUCACCUUCCCCAUGGCCGCCCUCGCGCGACUCCAUGCCGGCCGUUCAGCUCAGCAGUCCUCUCGAGGAGAGUACACUAUCGACAAUGGUAGCAUGCUUAUGCCACGAAGGGACGCCAUAGUCAUGCACAGAGUGGUCGGCGUGUUUCUGUGGAUACAACGGUUACGAAUCUGCAGGCUGGCGCCCACAAAGCCUGGCUGCUAUUUAUGACUGUCGGUGUAGCCUUCGAAUUUCACAGCAAGGUCGUAUGUGAUUAUUAAUACUGUAGCAGACCGUACAUGUACACUCUCAUAUAAAUGGACCGUGGAAUUGGAUUAUGGUUGUUGGCAUUACUUCAACUAUUUUAUGCAGUCCUUCAUUGAUUCUAGGAACUGAAUAACAUUUUUGUGAGGAAUCGAUGAAUAGCAAUUUGAUAAGUAUUGUGAGUGUGUAAGCAACGCAUUCACAACUCCAAAGCAGCUGAGCCGCAGCUCACAAACUCUUGUUUCAUAAAAGAUUAGAGUGAAAGACUUUGGCGAAUGAUUAUUUCAGCAAAACCUGAUUAACUGACUAACUUAAGAGUAUUUUAAAAGUAUUUUGGAUAAGCAUUCUGGUUUGCACUCUGCAAUUCAAAGAUGAGCACCACUGAAUUUCAAGAAAGAUAUGAUAAAGGGUCUGACUAACACUUAUUUAGAUGAGAAUAAAAUCUGCAUGAUUAAACUUUCUGAGUUAUUUUGUGAUCUUUUAUCUGCCUAGCUAAUAUGUUACUUUCAAGUAGAAAGCAAAAAUGAUGGCGAGUCUUUUUUUUUUUUUUCUGUUUAGUACUACAGUUAGCUUAGUUUUCUAUUUGGUGCAGCUUGGUGAAUUUUCAGCUGAGCUACCAUCACAUGGUAAAUUUUGUUUUCUAUAGUAUUGAUGUGGCAAUUUUGUGAGUGCAGUCUUACCUUUGACAUACUGUAUGUUGCAUAAUCAAAGUAUCCUUUUUCUCAAUAUAGCCCAACCAUGGCAAACUGCAGGUGAUUACUUACUUUCAUCGAUAUUGGCUCAUGUAUACAGAGCAGUGCAUGGAACUGCCUAUUUGAAGGGAAUAUAUUUGGUUUUUCAUUUUGGCAAAAUAUUGGGUGAAAUACUAAGCGACUAUACGAAGUUUAUGUAUGUCUACUUUCGCAUUGGGUUUUCAUUUUGACAAAAUAUUAACUGAAAUACUUAGCGACUACAUAUACUUGGAUUGUACAUUAAUUGGGUGCUUAAACAAAAAAUGGUACUUCAUUCAUUAUUUUACUAUUCUCAUUUCUAAUAAUUUUUAUACAAAGCUUGCCUUUUAUGUUACCUUGGUACCAAAUAGCUGAGCUUGCUCCUUGCUCGCAUAUUAGGGUAACUUGAUCCAUGCAGGAAUUAUGGGAUUGAGACACACAAUGAAGCAAGGAAUGAUUUAUACUAUUUUUUGCCAAUUUGCUUUUGCUUUGUUAUGAUGCUUAGUUCACAUUUGGGUUUCUAUUUUAGAAAAUCAUUAGCAAGAAUAAUUAGUUGCUAUACUUAUAUUAUAUAUGAGGCAAGGUAGUUCUUACAUUGCUUUAAUUACUCUACCCUUAUUAUACGCAGUGUUAGUAAAGUAGGCUUUGAAGUAUCGAAUUACUAUGCUUCGUCUUGUUCAAUUGAGGGCGACUGGUCAUUUUCUUCUCAUGUCUACAUAACACUAUAUUGUUUACAUCAAAGUGCAACCACAAUCAAAUCGUAAGUGUUUGUCCCUUUAUACUAAAUGUCUUUUGUCAUAACAUUAAUUUGGCUAAUUUACUUCACAUAUGGAGCCUACCUUAUUUAAUUGUCCACCGAUCUGUUUGUUCUAUCCUCAUUUUCACAAACAAUGGAUAGUAUUUGUCCUUUUCCACUGGUUAUCUUUUGUCAUAACAUUGAUUUUGCAAAUUUACUUCACAUAUGGAGCUUGCCUUAUUUAUUUGUGUACUGAUCUAUUUGUUCUAUCCUCAAUUUUUCAAGGUCACCAAUCUUUGCAUGUAGAAACAAUGGGAAAGCCUCAAGACUCCAUAGUCAGAGAAGGGGAAGUAUCCUUUGCAGCUGCAUUAAAAAAAGGGGAAUGAGGUGAUUUGUUAUCUAUAACUCACGGUAUCGAUUAUCGAGCGUUCAAUCAGGGUCAACGAUGGGAUAAUAGAAUUCACAAAUCCUGGUUUCAUGGCAACAUCUACAUAAUACUAAAAAAAUAUUAGGCUAAUAAGAUAAAUCCACAGAAAAGUGAUAUUAUCUAAAAUGUUGUUGAUGGUGGUAUAUUCUAUUUGAUCUUAGUAUCACAUUUUUGUUUGGUUAUGUAUGUGGAGUGAUAGUAUAUCAUAAUAUGACACCCUUUCCCUCCUUUUACUUUUCCUAA
This is a long non-coding RNA of Aegilops tauschii subsp. strangulata, 9387 nucleotides long. RefSeq lists it as uncharacterized. The record is from RefSeq and is a predicted model, not a curated record. Lineage: Eukaryota; Viridiplantae; Streptophyta; Magnoliopsida; Poales; Poaceae.